UCCGGUGGGGCUACUAUUGGCAGUAGCGACGAGCUGUUAACUCGUUUCCCUGUAGGUUCGAUUCCUGCCUCCGGAGCC
This 78-nucleotide transfer RNA is filed under the name Streptomyces phage NootNoot. RNAcentral describes it as "tRNA-Asn". It matches the Rfam family "tRNA". From Rfam's summary of the family: Transfer RNA (tRNA) molecules are approximately 80 nucleotides in length. Their secondary structure includes four short double-helical elements and three loops (D, anti-codon, and T loops). RNAcentral also lists the same sequence under 5 other names. Lineage: Duplodnaviria; Heunggongvirae; Uroviricota; Caudoviricetes; Stanwilliamsviridae. The record is from RNAcentral.